AUGGCCGUGCCCAUUACCGAAAACGAGCUCGCCGCCGUGACCACCGUAGUCCGAGCUCGCGUCCGAGCUCGUGGUGGAGCUCAUGGAGCUCGUAGGCGCCUAACGCCGCUCCCCGCGUCGCUUGUUAUACCCCAUUUCGCCGUAGCCGCCAGCACCCGAAUUCCGGCGUCCGCCACGGUCGACACCGCCGCCGAUUUAGGUCACCUCCGGCGAAACCUUUGCCACCCCACGACGCGCGCGAGCGCCAGCUUCCGAACGCAAGUGGAAUCGUGCGAUUUGGUGUGCUGUGGCGAAAAUUCGAGCCUCUCCGGCGAGCCAGCCGCCGCGGAGCGCUCGCCGGCGCGUUCCGGCGACCUCUCCGACGUGGCAAGUGGUGGCGUCCACCCGUAG
This 390-nucleotide ribosomal RNA is filed under the name Triticum aestivum (bread wheat). RNAcentral's name for it is "partial small subunit ribosomal RNA". Lineage: Eukaryota; Viridiplantae; Streptophyta; Magnoliopsida; Poales; Poaceae. The record is from RNAcentral.